GGUCCAGUAGCUCAGUGGUUAGAGCACUGGUAUAUAUAGCCAGGAAGUUCUUGGUUUGAUCCCAGAUUGGGUCA
Molecule: non-coding RNA, 74 nt
Organism: Hysterangium stoloniferum
Lineage: Eukaryota; Fungi; Basidiomycota; Agaricomycetes; Hysterangiales; Hysterangiaceae
Source: the annotation of a GenBank genome assembly